GCGGCGUGCUUCAUACAUGCAAGUCGAACGAGAAGCAGGAGCUUGCUCCUGUGGAAAGUGGCGGACGGGUGAGUAACACGUAGGAAAUCUGCCUUUGGGUGGGGGACAACAGUUGGAAACGACUGCUAAUACCCCAUAUGAGCUUGGUUGCAAUACCAAUCUUGAAAACUCCGGUGCCUAAAGAUGAGCCUGCGUCUGAUUAGCUUGUUGGCGGGGUAAUGGCCCACCAAGGCGACGAUCAGUAGCUGGUUUGAGAGGAUGAGCAGCCACAAUGGGACUGAGACACGGCCCAUACUCCUACGGGAGGCAGCAGUAGGGAAUGUUGCGCAAUGGGGGAAACCCUGACGCAGCAACGCCGCGUGAAUGACGAAGCCCUUCGGGGUGUAAAGUUCUGUCAGUAGGGAAGAAUUUUGACUGUACCUACAAAGGAAGCACCGGCUAACUCCGUGCCAGCCGCCGCGGUAA
This 465-nucleotide ribosomal RNA is filed under the name uncultured bacterium. RNAcentral's name for it is "partial 16S ribosomal RNA". It matches the Rfam family "Bacterial small subunit ribosomal RNA", at positions 39 to 523 of the family's 1533-position model. The record is from RNAcentral.